This 482-nucleotide ribosomal RNA is filed under the name uncultured bacterium. RNAcentral describes it as "bacterial SSU rRNA". It matches the Rfam family "Bacterial small subunit ribosomal RNA", at positions 29 to 509 of the family's 1533-position model. The record is from RNAcentral.
AAUAAACGUUGGCGGCGUGCUUAACACAUGCAAGUCGAGCGUGAAAACUCCUUCGGGAGUGAGUAAAGCGGCGGACUGGUGCGUAACACGUGAGUAUCUGCCUAUCAGUGAGGAAUACCUUCGAGAAAUCGAAGUUAAUACUGCAUACGUUCCUUCGGGAAGAAAGGUGGCUUUAUGCUGCCGCUGAUAGAUGAGCUUGCGGACUAUCAGCUAGUUGGUGAGGUAAUGGCUCACCAAGGCUAUGACGGUUAGCCGGCCUGAGAGGGUGUACGGCCACAUUGGGACUGAGAUACGGCCCAGACUCCUACGGGAGGCAGCAGUGAGGAAUAUUGCGCAAUGGGCGAAAGCCUGACGCAGCGACGCCGCGUGGAGGACGAAGGUCUUAGGAUCGUAAACUCCUGUUAAGAGGGAAGAAAGGUCAAGUUUUAAUAGAGCUUGAAUAUGACGGUACCUCUAGAGAAAGCACUGGCUAACUUCGUGCC